RNAcentral lists this transfer RNA (78 nucleotides) under Gammaproteobacteria bacterium. RNAcentral describes it as "tRNA-Glu". It matches the Rfam family "tRNA". Rfam says of the family: Transfer RNA (tRNA) molecules are approximately 80 nucleotides in length. Their secondary structure includes four short double-helical elements and three loops (D, anti-codon, and T loops). The record is from RNAcentral. Lineage: Bacteria; Pseudomonadati; Pseudomonadota; Gammaproteobacteria. RNAcentral also lists the same sequence under 1 other name.
GUCCCUAUCGUCUAGCCUGGCCCAGGACACCGCCCUUUCACGGCGGCGACGGAGGUUCAAAUCCUCCUGGGGACACCA